UAUUGGGCGUAAGAGCUCGUAGGCGGUUUGUCGCGUCUGCUGUGAAAUCCCGAGGCUCAACCUCGGGCUUGCAGUGGGUACGGGCAGACUAGAGUGCGGUAGGGGAGAUUGGAAUUCCUGGUGUAGCGGUGGAAUGCGCAGAUAUCAGGAGGAACACCGAUGGCGAAGGCAGAUCUCUGGGCCGUAACUGACGCUGAGGAGCGAAAGCAUGGGGAGCGAACAGGAUUAGAUACCCUGGUAGUCCAUGCCGUAAACGUUGGGCGCUAGAUGUAGGGACCUUUCCACGGUUUCUGUGUCGUAGCUAACGCAUUAAGCGCCCCGCCUGGGGAGUACGGCCGCAAGGCUAAAACUCAAAGGAAUUGACGGGGGCCCGCACAAGCGGCGGAGCAUGCGGAUUAAUUCGAUGCAACGCGAAGAACCUUACCAAGGCUUGACAUACACCGGAAACGGCCAGAGAUGGUCGCCCCCUUGUGGUCGGUGUACAGGUGGUGCAUGGUUGUCGUCAGCUCGUGUCGUGAGAUGUUGGGUUAAGUCCCGCAACGAGCGCAACCCUCGUUCUAUGUUGCCAGCGCGUUAUGGCGGGGACUCAUAGGAGACUGCCGGGGUCAACUCGGAGGAAGGUGGGGAUGACGUCAAAUCAUCAUGCCCCUUAUGUCUUGGGCUUCACGCAUGCUACAAUGGCCGGUACAAAGGGCUGCGAUACCGUAAGUGAGCGAAUCCCAAAAAGCCGGUCUCAGUUCGGAUUGAGUCUGCAACUCGACCUCAUGAAGUCGGAGUCGCUAGUAAUCGCAGAUCAGCAACGCUGCGUGAAUACGUUCCCGGGCUUGUACACACCGCCCGUCAGUCAUGAAAG
RNAcentral lists this ribosomal RNA (853 nucleotides) under Curtobacterium sp. Its description in RNAcentral is "bacterial SSU rRNA". It matches the Rfam family "Bacterial small subunit ribosomal RNA", at positions 552 to 1410 of the family's 1533-position model. The record is from RNAcentral. Lineage: Bacteria; Bacillati; Actinomycetota; Actinomycetes; Micrococcales; Microbacteriaceae.